UCAAGAAGAAUGUGUAUUCUGCUGCUUUUGGAUGAAAAGUUCUGAAUAUAUCUGUUAAGUCCAUCUGGUUCAAUGUGUUAUUCAGAGCUGUUGUUUCCUUAUUGGUUUUCUGCCUAGAUGAUCUGUCCAUUGUUGUAUAUGGUGGUAAAGUGUCCCAGGUGGAUUGACAGCUUAUACAAAGAUAUAGUAGGAGAAAACAAGAAAAUUAUGAGAACUACAGGGAAGCCAGCAAGACUGGAAUUCAGGAAAUGAGUCUAUACUAAUUCCACAAGGUCAACUGUCAAGAUAGCUCUGAUGCCCAGGAUACAAAGUCUCAUGUGAAUCAGCACCAAGUAAAGCACUGAGCUAGGAAAGUCACUUUCUGAAGGUGUCCGGGGCCCUAACUUUGCAAGUCACUUCAAGGAGAAGGAGGUGGUGGGCCUUCCUUCCAGAGAAACAACUUCCAAGAGCAUGGUGGCUCUUCUGGCAACAUUUCUAGUUCAUGACAGCAGUAAACUGAUGGGCUUACUUAGGUCAAAUGACAGGCCUAGUCCAGGCAGCCAUGGUCCAGAAGACUCUUUCCUAACUUUGAGAUGUCUGUCAGAGUGGGGGCAAGGAGAGCACAUAUCUGUGCAGGCAGCAGCCCCUUAGUAAAGGGGAACCUGUGAUGUGAAGCCACCACAAGAGGUGCCUCCUACAAAUACUCACUGAUCCUUCAAGCCCAUUGUCACUGUUGAGAUCUUGUGAGGAUGUCAGAGAGCUGAAUAAACAAGGUAAUUCGACCUCA
Long non-coding RNA from Felis catus (domestic cat), 766 nucleotides. RefSeq lists it as uncharacterized. The transcript has 4 exons. NCBI's taxonomy places the organism in Eukaryota, Metazoa, Chordata, Mammalia, Carnivora, Felidae. The record is from RefSeq and is a predicted model, not a curated record.